GACUGUUCACCUCUGUUCUGCCCUCAGGAGGACCCAGCCCAAGAAGGAUGCAGAGUUUCUGGAGCAGGUCCAAAAGGAGGGCCACAAAGACGAUCGGAGGACUAGAGAACGUCUCCUAGGAAGACAGGUUGGGGGAGAUGGGUUUGUUUAGCCUGGGGAAGAGAAAGCUCCAAGGAGAGCUCUUGGCAUGCUUUCACUGCCUGGAGGGAGCUUAUAAAAAGGGAUAUCCAAGCCACAAGCCAUGAAUUUCUCCAGGAAAAAGGAGCAGCCCGUAGUCGGCAGGAUUCGAACCUGCGCGGGCAGAACCCAAUGGAUUUCUAGUCCAUCGCCUUAACCACUCGGCCACGACUACUGCAUGUCAUGGGUGUGCACCGUCUGCCUCGAGGAACGCUAUGAAAUUGAGAGCAAUUUGUGGAUUGAGUGACUGGAUGACACCGUGGUCAACCUCACCUCGUGGGAGGCACCCUGGCCCAUAGCCACAGGGUUGGAGCGAGGUGGUAUCUAAGGUCAUUUCUGCUAUGAAGGAGAGCAUUGGGAUUUAGCUAACGUACUCUGCUGCAUCUGUUGAGGGUGCAAGAACUGCCUUAAUCUUUUUCACAGUUUCUCAAAGGCCCUCUGAAUGAGUCCUCCCCUCCAUGAGUCACUCCUGCAUCUUGAAUAUCUUUGGGUUAGAGAUAAUUUUUUUUUUUAAUGAAAAAUUCCACACAGCUUGCAGGUAUUGUCUUUGUGGGAUUGCUUUCAUCUGCAGCUCUGCAUUGCUGUUGUCAGCACUGCAUCUGAUAUCUAACUUCUUCCUAGAGACUGUUUGAAGUUACUCUGAGGUCUUUUUUAUCUCAUUGUCUCAAAAAAGGCUCUUAAUGAGGGGGAAGAAGAGGAGGCAUUGUCCAUAUGGCAAUCAGAAAAUGGACAGCACGAAUCUCUGAAUUUCAAGUCCAGUAUCAAUUGUGACAGGCUACUUCGUAUAUUGAGAGAAGAAAAUUCCUCAGAAAAUUCUGCGUUGUGGGCUGAAAGAGAUUUGAGAAAAACUACUGUACCACAGGAAAUACCUUUGACUCCAACAAUUCCAUCUUCAUCAUUGGAACAUUCAGCCCUCAAUGCUUCCAGUGUAGUCAAGAGAAUCCAUUCAAGACAUCAGAAUCAAGAUGAAGAAGAGACCGUAGACACUGCUUAUACUGUGAGACAAGUGCUGAACCCAAACUCAAGCAAAGAAAAGCAAAUUUCAGCAAAAAGUUUAGUACUUUCAAAAACAGCAUUCUUGCUUUGACCAAGGUCCUUACUAUCAUGGGAAAAUGUGUCUUGAAAGGGGAUCUUUGGAGGUCAUCUACUCAUGCUCCCUGCUCAGAGGAGAGCUAACUCAAAGGUUCUGGGGGGGCUCAACUACCGAGGUUUUGAGAAUUUGUAAAGGUUGACAUUCUGCAACCCUUAUGUAGUAUAUUCCAGUGACAAAGCAAAGUCCAUAGGAAGGAGGAAACCAUAAAUACAAUUCUGUGAUGCAACCCGUUUUCUUGCUGGGCGUAGAGUUCUCUCCUUUGUGGUGCUUUUCUAUUUCUUUUACAACUUUCUGUUCUAUGUUGCACAGAUAUAUUACAAAUUUUCAUCUCCUUAUUCUGCACAUCAUUUAUACCUGUUGCCAAUCCCUAUAUACAACUACUAUCAUGAAAAGAUUGUUGUAAAAGUUAGUAAAUACAAGACCUGAAAGCAGCUGAUGUUUUUCACUGGAUGAUCACUAGCAAACUGUUUCUGUGCUUCUAAUUUGAAAGAAGAAAAGCAAAAAUAGAUGUCUAAGAUAAAUGCACCAGUGAAACUUGAGUGGAAUCGACGUGGUGGCGUAAAGUGUAUUUUUGGAUUAUUGAAAAUAACUGGAAUGUCUGGGGGCACUCUUUGACGGUCCAUUACAGCUCAGUGCAGCUCCUUUGAUAUAUUUCAGUAAACAAUAUAAUUUCAUUCUUACUUGCAAAGCUUUCUAUAUAAAUUGAAAUUUCAAUGACUUUUUUUUUU
This is a long non-coding RNA of Lagopus leucura (white-tailed ptarmigan), 1998 nucleotides long. RefSeq lists it as uncharacterized. The transcript is spliced from 3 exons. Lineage: Eukaryota; Metazoa; Chordata; Aves; Galliformes; Phasianidae. The record is from RefSeq and is a predicted model, not a curated record.